CCUACGGGAGGCAGCAGUGGGGAAUAUUGGACAAUGGGGGCAACCCUGAUCCAGCCAUGCCGCGUGUGUGAAGAAGGCCCUCGGGUUGUAAAGCACUUUCAGUGAGGAAGAACGCCUGGUGGUUAAUACCCAUCGGAAAGACAUCACUCACAGAAGAAGCACCGGCUAACUCCGUGCCAGCAGCCGCGGUAAUACGGAGGGUGCGAGCGUUAAUCGGAAUUACUGGGCGUAAAGCGCGCGUAGGUGGCUUGAUAAGCCGGUUGUGAAAGCCCCGGGCUCAACCUGGGAACGGCAUCCGGAACUGUCAAGCUAGAGUGCAGGAGAGGAAGGUAGAAUUCCCGGUGUAGCGGUGAAAUGCGUAGAGAUCGGGAGGAAUACCAGUGGCGAGGGCGGCCUUCUGGACUGACACUGACACUGAGGUGCGAAAGCGUGGGUAGCAAACAGGAUUAGAUACCCUAGUAGUC
RNAcentral lists this ribosomal RNA (464 nucleotides) under Vreelandella stevensii. RNAcentral describes it as "partial 16S ribosomal RNA". It matches the Rfam family "Bacterial small subunit ribosomal RNA", at positions 338 to 795 of the family's 1533-position model. The record is from RNAcentral. Lineage: Bacteria; Pseudomonadati; Pseudomonadota; Gammaproteobacteria; Oceanospirillales; Halomonadaceae.